CAGAGUAGAAAACGAAGCGUCAAGUGUCAAAAAAUGGAAUGUUGUUUUUGGACGAAGGACUUUCAAGUCUGCGAUUUUGUUUUCGCAUUCGCUGC
This 95-nucleotide non-coding RNA is filed under the name uncultured Enterococcus sp. RNAcentral describes it as "THF riboswitch". It matches the Rfam family "THF (Tetrahydrofolate) riboswitch aptamer". From Rfam's summary of the family: THF riboswitch presents a pseudoknot that joins P1-P2 and the loop of P3 and two THF binding. Lineage: Bacteria; Bacillati; Bacillota; Bacilli; Lactobacillales; Enterococcaceae. The record is from RNAcentral.